AAGCAACGUCCUGCCAAACCCGUC
RNAcentral lists this non-coding RNA (24 nucleotides) under Arabidopsis thaliana (thale cress). The record is from RNAcentral. Lineage: Eukaryota; Viridiplantae; Streptophyta; Magnoliopsida; Brassicales; Brassicaceae.